AUGCUCCUUGUUGUGUUAAGUGUUGGCAGAUCUCUGGACCUCGCCCUAGCGGUCCGGAUUUGGACCUCGAACUUCCCCCUCCCCCAACGAAGUUCGAGGUUUUUUUUCGUCCCGAGA
This is a small RNA of 117 nucleotides. It matches the Rfam family "Pseudomon-1/ErsA RNA". From Rfam's summary of the family: Functions to regulate the AlgC enzyme. Based on this information, the new name ErsA for the RNA was adopted. The record is from Rfam.